This 183-nucleotide long non-coding RNA is filed under the name Chinchilla lanigera (long-tailed chinchilla). RNAcentral describes it as "lncRNA (ENSCLAG00000022535.1)". Lineage: Eukaryota; Metazoa; Chordata; Mammalia; Rodentia; Chinchillidae. The record is from RNAcentral.
CUCCAUACAGGCUUUUGAAGAAAAGAGAAUGGUUUGGCCUCCAAAUUGCAUCGUCAAAAAUAUGAAACUAGUGAAGAUCACUCCAAAAUUAGCCAUUGAGAGUAUGAAAGCCUACCGCCACAUGAUAUGCAUGCCACUGGCAAAAGGCAAGUGAGAACUACGUGAAUUUCCACCAUCACUGAU